UAAGACUGGGAUAACUUCGGGAAACCGGAGCUAAUACCGGAUACGUUCUUUUCUCGCAUGAGAGAAGAUGGAAAGACGGUUUACGCUGUCACUUAUAGAUGGGCCCGCGGCGCAUUAGCUAGUUGGUGAGGUAAUGGCUCACCAAGGCGACGAUGCGUAGCCGACCUGAGAGGGUGAUCGGCCACACUGGGACUGAGACACGGCCCAGACUCCUACGGGAGGCAGCAGUAGGGAAUCUUCCGCAAUGGACGAAAGUCUGACGGAGCAACGCCGCGUGAACGAAGAAGGCCUUCGGGUCGUAAAGUUCUGUUGUUAGGGAAGAACAAGUACCAGAGUAACUGCUGGUACCUUGACGGUACCUAACCAGAAAGCCACGGCUAACUACGUGCCAGCAGCCGCGGUAAU
Molecule: ribosomal RNA, 405 nt
Filed under: Brevibacterium sp. ADB_BD082
Lineage: Bacteria; Bacillati; Actinomycetota; Actinomycetes; Micrococcales; Brevibacteriaceae
Description: bacterial SSU rRNA
Rfam family: Bacterial small subunit ribosomal RNA
Source: RNAcentral